Molecule: non-coding RNA, 495 nt
Organism: Orycteropus afer afer
Lineage: Eukaryota; Metazoa; Chordata; Mammalia; Tubulidentata; Orycteropodidae
Source: the annotation of a RefSeq genome assembly
AUGACUUUUCUAAGUGGUAGCUUCAGAAAUGUACCAGGGAACAUAAUAAUCUUUUCUAGACAGAGCCUUGUUCAGUUGUCAGAAAGGGAUGCUCAGUUUUUGUAUGGGAGGGAGAUUAAGAAGAACCCUUGUGUGUAUACUUUCGGUGCCGGCACCAAGAUGGAGAUCAAACGGUCCGAUGUUAAACCAUCAGUUUUUAUGUUCCCACCAUCUUCGGAUCAGUUACAGACCGAAAGCGCCACUUUAGUGUGCAUGAUAAAUGACUUCUACCCCAGAGACAUUCAAGUGACGUGGAAGGUGGAUGGUGUCACCCAGACAGAUGGCAUCCAGAACAGCUUCACAGAGCAGGACAGUGGGGACAGCACCUACAGUCUCAGUAGCAUGAUGACACUCCCCACUACCAACUACAACAGCCAUAAUCUCUACACCUGCGAGGUCAGCCAUAAGACCCUGCCCUCUGCCCAUGUGGAGAGCUUCAAAAGGAAUGAGUGUUAG